Non-coding RNA from Xyrichtys novacula (pearly razorfish), 863 nucleotides. The record is from the annotation of a GenBank genome assembly. NCBI's taxonomy places the organism in Eukaryota, Metazoa, Chordata, Actinopteri, Labriformes, Labridae.
GAGUUUGGCUUGUUGUUAUGAACAUUUUUCGUUUUGGCCAGUUUGAAGGUUUUUGAGCAUGUGUAAUGGCAUGAAUGUGUUGAAUUAGUAAUCCCUUGUGUUAAGCUGUUGUUUUAGUGUUCUUUUGAUGAGUUUGGCUUGUUGUUAUGAAAAGUGUUUGUUUUGGCGAGUUUGAACGUUUCUGAGCAUAUGUAAUGGCAUGAAUGCGUUAAGCUGUUGUUUUAGUGUUCUUUUGAUGAGUUUGGCUUGUUGUUAUGAACAUUGUUCGUUUUGGCGAGUUUGAACGUUUUUGAGCAUGUGUAAUGGCAUGAAUGCGUUAAGCUGUUGUUUUAGUGUUCUUUUGAUGAGUUUGGCUUGUUGUUAUGAACAUUGUUCAUUUUGGCCAGUUUGAACGUUUUUGAGCAUGUGUAAUGGCAUGAAUGCGUUAAGCUGUUGUUUUAGUGUUCUUUUGAUGAGUUUGGCUUGUUGUUAUGAAAAGUGUUUGUUUUGGCGAGUUUGAACGUUUUUGAGCAUGUGUAAUGGCAUGAAUGCGUUAAGCUGUUGUUUUAGUGUUCUUUUGAUGAGUUUGGCUUGUUGUUAUGAACAUUGUUCUGUUUUGGCCAGUUUGAAGGUUUUUGAGCAUGUGUAAUGGCAUGAAUGCGUUAAGCUGUUGUUUUAGUGUUCUUUUGAUGAGUUUGGCUUGUUGUUAUGAACAUUGUUCGUUUUGGCCAGUUUGAAGGUUUUUGAGCAUGUGUAAUGGCAUGAAUGUGUUGAAUUAGUAAUCCCUUGUGUUAAGCCGUUGUUUUAGUGUUCUUUUGAUGAGUUUGGCUUGUUGUUAUGAAAAGUGUUUGUUUUGGCGAGUUUAAACGUUUUUGAGCAUGUGU